Molecule: ribosomal RNA, 252 nt
Filed under: uncultured bacterium
Lineage: Bacteria
Description: partial 16S ribosomal RNA
Rfam family: Bacterial small subunit ribosomal RNA
Source: RNAcentral
UACGUAGGGGGCUAGCGUUGUCCGGAUUUACUGGGCGUAAAGGGUGAGUAGGCGGUUAUGUAUGUCAGAUGUAAAAGGCGCGGGCUUAACUUGCGUUAGCAUUUGAAACUGCAUAACUUGAGUGCAGGAGAGGUAAGCGGAAUUCCUAGUGUAGCGGUGAAAUGCGUAGAUAUUAGGAGGAACACCGGUGGCGAAGGCGGCUUACUGGACUGUAACUGACGCUGAGUCACGAAAGCGUGGGUAGCAAACAGG